RNAcentral lists this long non-coding RNA (961 nucleotides) under Rattus norvegicus (Norway rat). RNAcentral's name for it is "long non-coding RNA NONRATT031640". The record is from RNAcentral. Lineage: Eukaryota; Metazoa; Chordata; Mammalia; Rodentia; Muridae.
GAAGAGGGUGCGGGAUGCCCGUGGCCCCCGAUCUCGGUGUCCUAGUGCUGGGUUGUGCCAUCCUCUGCAACCCCAAUUGUCCCGGUCCAAGUCUUAGGAAUGAAGAGUCCAGGUUGGAAGCGAUUCAAGCCCCGAUUCCGUCCUCUUUCCCUACCAAGGAUGGCUUCAGGCCCCCGAAGUUGGUGGGUUUGGACUUCUCUUUUUUUUGCCUUGAGAACCUGUGUGUUAGUGCUCACUGGCCUGCAAAGGAAUCUGUACAGAGCGCCAUGAACUAGAGGAUGGAGAAUGAGUGCUUGGAGAUGCCUGAGGUACGGUCCUUACCCGCGUGGCAUGUGGAGGCUGGUAACGCUCUGUCCCAGUUUCUAGGAGCCCAGUGAGGUGAGAAAACAGGGUUGAAAACUUCACGGAGGAUUCAUCAUUUCUGCCCUGAAUUGGAAUUAAUUCCUUACUGACUUAUUACUGUAUUGAAAGUGUUUUAAUUAAUCAGGGUAUUUGUUUAGGUAAGACCUUUGUUUUGGUAAGGUUUUAUAAGAGCUUCUGAAUGACCAUAUACUGCUCUUCUGGUAUAUGUGAGCUUCAAUAUUUUUAAAUUCACAGGAUGGACUAUUUUACAACUUAGUAAAGUUAUAUCAUCUUUAUGGUGCCAGAGAAUAUGCUCUCAAUUGUUAGCAUGAAUCACAGUAUUACACCAGGCACUUGCAAAUUAUUUUCAUUUGUCCUGCAUUAAUCAUUUUUCAAAAGCAGUUUCUUCACUAGCCUGUGCAUCCACUGUCAUAAAUCUUCCUAAACAAGUAAUGUUGUUUUUGGCAAAUGGCUAUUUCAUACAAGGCAGCAUCUGUGUUAGAACAGGAUUUUUGUUCUAAUUAUUGAAUUUGUUUUUUUAAAAAGCAAAACUUGAAUCAAUACAGAAAAACUUCAAGAAGUCAAAGGUGAUCUGAAUAAAAAUUUAUUUAAACUCCUG